Long non-coding RNA from Cyanistes caeruleus (blue tit), 373 nucleotides. RefSeq lists it as uncharacterized. The record is from RefSeq and is a predicted model, not a curated record. Lineage: Eukaryota; Metazoa; Chordata; Aves; Passeriformes; Paridae.
GCAAGUUUUCCUUAUCAGGGUAUCAUUGCAACCUGUGUAUCUGCUCUACCUGUACCUAUGUAUGCACCACAGUAUGUCAAAAUACUGAAAAGAAAGGGUGUCAGCCUGCCCAUUUAUUGAGUCUGAGCUCAUCACAGAAAGAUGGAUGUCUCAUUGUCAUUCCAGACCAUACAAGCGGCAUGUUGGUGCAAUGAUAACAAGUGACUUGAAAGCUAAAGAAGAUGGAGACCUCCAGGAAAAGGAGACUCAGAGGUGACCUCACCACUCUCUACAACUUCCUGAAAGGUGGUUGUAGCCAGGUGGGGGUUGGUCUCUUUCUCCAGGCAACAGCUGACAGAAUGAGGGAACACAGUCUCAAGCUGCACCAAGGGAA